RNAcentral lists this ribosomal RNA (954 nucleotides) under Triticum aestivum (bread wheat). RNAcentral describes it as "partial small subunit ribosomal RNA". Lineage: Eukaryota; Viridiplantae; Streptophyta; Magnoliopsida; Poales; Poaceae. The record is from RNAcentral.
AUGACGCGUGCGGCCAUCCGUCCAUGGCUGCGGGGUGGCCUGGCGUCGAGGGCCUCUGCGCGGUGCGGGAGGUGGUUCCCAGGCAGCGGCGCUGCACCGGGCUCGCCCCAGAUCUGCCGCUGCUCGGGCAUGCUGCGGCGUGCGCGGCCGGAUCCAGCCGUGUCCGGCUCGGAUCCAUUGUGCCCCCCCCCUCCCCGUUCCUCUUCUCUGUUGAAGUUCGAGCUCCCCCUGUCGUUUGCCUGCGUAGGUGUUGGGUGGUGCUUGGUGGGUGUCCUUCGGCUACUGGUGUGGUGUUGGCCGGCGUGGUGCCGGGCGACGCCGUUGGUCAGCUCUUCUAUCGUCUACCGCCCUGCUGCAUUUGCACCGGUCGGCGGUUCCUUGGCAGGCAGAUGGCGGCCAUGGAUGCGGCCUGCUCUCCACGUGGGGUGCAGCCGUGGGCGGUCAGGGAGGCCCCCCUUGUCUUGCUGUCAGUCUGGAUGGACGCUUGUCCGUCAAGUUGUUGAGCUUCAUGGCUUCGCUGUGGCGGCCAUGGAUGCGGCUUCCUCCCAUCCGGGAGGGCCGUGGCUUGGGGCUGGCCGUCUUUCCUUCCUGAUGGGAUUUCAUUCUCGUUGGUGUUCUUAUGGGUCGUGCUCGAGUGCUCCUUCGUGUGUGUCUGCUAGGCGGUGUCCAGCGACCUCGCCGGUGACACACAGGUGUCGUGGCGCCUCUUGUCCCCGUGUGACCUUUCGACUGUGCCCCACGGCACAGGUGGUGCUGCGGCAUUGUGUAGUCUCGGAAGCACGUCGUCCUCGAUUGCGUCGACGAUACAGUGUCUUGGUUGGGUCUGCCAGGCGAUGCCCUUCGACUUUGCCGGCGACGCACAGGUGCUGUGGCGCCAUCUCGGCCUUGCGUGUCCUUUCGAAUGUACCCCACGACACAGGUGGUGUCGCGGCAUUGUGCAGUCUCGGUGCGUGA